This 328-nucleotide ribosomal RNA is filed under the name uncultured eukaryote. RNAcentral describes it as "partial 18S ribosomal RNA". It matches the Rfam family "Eukaryotic small subunit ribosomal RNA", at positions 1470 to 1796 of the family's 1831-position model. The record is from RNAcentral.
CCCUUAGAUGUCCUGGGCCGCACGCGCGUUACACUGAUGCAUUCAACGAGCUUAUAACCUUGGCCGAGAGGCCUGGGCAAUCUUUUUAACGUGCAUCGUGAUAGGGAUAGAUUAUUGAAAUUAUUAAUCUUGAACGAGGAAUUCCUAGUAAACGCAGAUCAUCAAUCUGCAUUGAUUACGUCCCUGCCCUUUGUACACACCGCCCGUCGCACCUACCGCUUGGAUGGUCCGGUGAAGCCUCGGGAUUGUGGUUCUUGCCGCUUUAUUGUGGCGUGACCGCGAGAACUUGUCUAAACCUUAUCAUCUAGAGGAAGGUGAAGUCGUAACA